Molecule: long non-coding RNA, 866 nt
Organism: Dermacentor andersoni
Lineage: Eukaryota; Metazoa; Arthropoda; Arachnida; Ixodida; Ixodidae
Source: RefSeq, a predicted model, not a curated record
UCCGCAAGCUUCGCCUGGCGUAACAUUUUCCGCACGUGACACUGGCGCGGGUUCCUUUAUUGGAAUUCUCAGUUUGAGACUUGCUGAAUGCAGCUCGCAGGCACUGUGGCGCCACCCACCACCCAGCAACGUUUAUGGCGGCGCAAUUUAUGGAGCUUUUCGAGAAACAAAUGAAGACGUGAGCAAACGAAGGGAAUCCGCUGCCAGAGUAGCGCAUUGAUGCAGCAGUGAGCGUGGUCGCAGCGUACUUCGCAGCGCUUGCGGCACGUUGUCGGACUGCACGCAACUGCAGUGAGUCUGCUCACACGCUGCGCGAGAAGAACAGCAAGAACACGGCAGCACUCAGUGGCUGUCCCGACGGGCCGCGGCCAAAGGGCACGCGUGCGUUGGGCUGCCCCUUGUCACUUCCAGGACCCGGCGAACGCGGCGGCGGCGGCCGCCGAUGUCUCCGCAUUGACGGACAGGCCACACAGCUGUCAGUGGAUGUCGCAUGGCGCACCGGUCUCUCGACGACGAUGGAUCUGGCCUCUUCUUCGUGCUCGCUGCCUGUUUGAGAUGUGUGCGCGCAAUUGUUGCGCAGGUGGACGAGAGUUGCUUACCAGACGACGGCGCGACUGUUGCAAAGGCGAGGCCGGCUGUGACGUGGUGGUUGCAACAAUGACAAUUCAAAGGCGCUGGGAGUAAGGAAACGUGAGCAAUGCGGUUCCGCCAUAUUUUCCCUAGAGAGAGCUACAACACAUCACUGCGCACCAGACGGGUGCGACAUUGACAUUGGGAGCUUGACAAGAGCAGAACGGUGCGUACAUCACGCUGGAGACACAAAGGUAGCUUACUGAAAGAGAAUAAAAACUUCUACGUUUUCUUUC